Molecule: ribosomal RNA, 607 nt
Filed under: uncultured ciliate
Lineage: Eukaryota; Ciliophora
Description: SSU rRNA
Rfam family: Eukaryotic small subunit ribosomal RNA
Source: RNAcentral
ACCUGGUUGAUCCUGCCAGUANUCANNUGCUUGUCUUAAAGACUAAGCCAUGCAUGUCUAAGUAUAAAUAGUAUACAGUGAAACUGCGAAUGGCUCAUUAAAACAGUUAUAGUUUAUUUGAUAAUAUUUCUAUAUGGAUAACUGUAGUAACAUAGAGCUAAUACAUGCUGUAAGGCCUGACCCUCGGAAAGGCUGCAUUUAUUAGAUCCAAUACCAAUAUUCCGCAAGGUUUAUUGUGAUGAUUCAUAAUAACUGAUCAGAUCAAAGCUAGUCUUCGACAUAUCAUUCAAGUUUCUGCCCUAUCAGCUCUCGAUGGUAGUGUAUUGGACUACCAUGGCUAUCACGGGUAACGGGGAAUUAGGGUUCGAUUCCGGAGGGGGAGCCUGAGAAAUGGCUACCACUUCUAAGGAAGGCAGCAGGCGCGUAAAUUACCCAAUCCUGAUUCAGGGAGGUAGUGACAAGAAAUAACAACCUGGAGCUUCACCGCUUCCGGGAUUGCAAUGAAAACAAUCUAAAAAACUUAUUGAGGAACAAUUGGAGGGCAAGUCUGGUGCCAGCAGCCGCGGUAAUUCCAGCUCCAAUAGCGUAUAUUAAAGUUGUUGCAGUU